Long non-coding RNA from Oncorhynchus keta (chum salmon), 699 nucleotides. RefSeq lists it as uncharacterized. The record is from RefSeq and is a predicted model, not a curated record. Lineage: Eukaryota; Metazoa; Chordata; Actinopteri; Salmoniformes; Salmonidae. The transcript has 3 exons.
GUAAGCAUUUCACUGUCAGGUCUACUACACCUGUUGUAUUCGGCAUUUCACUGUAAGGUCUACUACACCUGUUGUAUUCAGCAUUUCACUGUAAGGUCUACUACACCUGUUGUAUUCGGCAUUUCACUGUAAGGUCUACUACACCUGUUAUAUUCGGCAUUUCACUGUAAGGUCUACUACACCUGUUGUAUUCAGCACUGUAAGGUCUACUACACCUGUUGUAUUCAGCACUGUAAGGUCUACUACACCUGUUGUAUUCAGCAUUUCACUGUGAGGUCUACUACACCUGUUGUAUUCGGCAUUUCACUGUAAGGUCUACUACACCUGUUGUAUUCAGCACUGUAAGGUCUACUACACCUGUUGUAUUCAGCACUGUAAGGUCUACUACACCUGUUGUAUUCAGCACUGUAAGGUCUACUACACCUGUUGUAUUCAGCACUGUAAGGUCUACUACACCUGUUGUAUUCAGCAUUUCACUGUAAGGUCUACUACACCUGUUGUAUUCAGCAUUUCACUGUAAGGUCUACUACACCUGUUGUAUUCAGCAUUUCACUGUAAGGUCUACUACACCUGUUGUAUUCAGCAUUUCACUGUAAGGUCUACUACACCUGUUGUAUUCAGCAUUUCACUGUAAGGUCUACUACACCUGUUGUAUUCGGCAUUUCACUGUAAGGUCUACUACACCUGUUGUAUUUGGCA